CCUACGGGGGGCUGCAGUAGGGAAUAUUGGACAAUGGGCGAGAGCCUGAUCCAGCCAUGCCGCGUGCAGGAAGAAGGCCUUCUGGGUCGUAAACUGCUUUUGUCGGGGGAUAAAACACCCCUGCGGGGGAAAUUGAAGGUACCCGGUGAAUAAGCCACGGCUAACUACGUGCCAGCAGCCGCGGUAAUACGUAGGUGGCGAGCGUUGUCCGGAUUUAUUGGGUUUGAAGGGUGCGUAGGCGGCCCGCGGAGAAAUACGGCAGCCCAACUGUCGAGGGGCCGUUGAUACUGCCGGGCUUGAGUGCGUUCGAGGGGGGCGGAAUUGACGGUGUAGCGGUGAAAUGCUUAGAUAUCGUCAAGAACACCGAUAGCGGAGGCAGCCCCCCAGGCCGCCACUGACGCUGAGGCACGAAAGUGCGGGGAUCAAACAGGAUUAGAUACCCGGGUAGUC
RNAcentral lists this ribosomal RNA (450 nucleotides) under uncultured bacterium. RNAcentral describes it as "partial 16S ribosomal RNA". It matches the Rfam family "Bacterial small subunit ribosomal RNA", at positions 338 to 795 of the family's 1533-position model. The record is from RNAcentral.